Symphalangus syndactylus (siamang) is the source of this 343-nucleotide long non-coding RNA. RefSeq lists it as uncharacterized. The record is from RefSeq and is a predicted model, not a curated record. Lineage: Eukaryota; Metazoa; Chordata; Mammalia; Primates; Hylobatidae.
CCACCCACCACUGGCCCACCUGGAAGCUGCUGACCCACCUGGUCCACAAAGCUGAUGGCAUCCCGGAUGUUAAGCCUGUAGUACACAUCCCAGAUCUGGUCCCGGAUGCGGUAGGCUGAUCGUCGCAUCAGCAGCUGACUCAGGAAAUGUCAUCCAAACUAGAAAAAGAACCAUGAUUUAUGGGGAAAACUACAGUUGUUGCUAUAAACUCUAAGACAAGAACUCUUCUGCAACUCACAGACUUCUCAGCAAACCCAAUUGUUGGCUCCAAAUCUGAGGCUCUUUCCACUCUACUCUCAUUGCUGCUGGGCCUCUAAGGUAAACGUGGUUAUAGAUCUCUCCA